Molecule: transfer RNA, 73 nt
Filed under: Camelus bactrianus (Bactrian camel)
Lineage: Eukaryota; Metazoa; Chordata; Mammalia; Artiodactyla; Camelidae
Also listed under: 2 other names
Rfam family: tRNA
About the family: Transfer RNA (tRNA) molecules are approximately 80 nucleotides in length. Their secondary structure includes four short double-helical elements and three loops (D, anti-codon, and T loops).
Source: Rfam by way of RNAcentral
GAGGGUAUAGCUCAGUGGUAGGGCACAGUGCGUAGCAUGCAUGAGGUCCUGGGUUCAAUCCCCAGUACCUCCA